This 722-nucleotide long non-coding RNA is filed under the name Fukomys damarensis (Damara mole-rat). RNAcentral describes it as "lncRNA (ENSFDAG00000032198.1)". The record is from RNAcentral. Lineage: Eukaryota; Metazoa; Chordata; Mammalia; Rodentia; Bathyergidae.
CUCCCUUGAGCCUGACCUCCUUCACUUGCCCUGCCAUGCCACAGCAGCGCCAACUCUGCAAUUCUCAAAACAAAUCUUGUUACUUAUGAUGUCCCUGCCCCCAGUGCCUUUGCACCGCUCACUCUGUCUGGGGUAUUCUUCCAAAGCACUGUCCCGAGAGAUCAUCUCACAGACUGCAGCGUCUUUGAAACACUAUCUUCAACCCAGCUCGCCUUGCGCGUCCCCCUUCCUGUGCUGGACACUGGGAUGCCUGCCCUGACUGCUACUGGCCUUGUCCUCACCCAGGAAGAGGAAGGAGAAUGGAACACAGAACAGGAAAGGUGCGGGCAUCCUGCAAGAGCUUUACCUCACCUGACCCAGAAGGCAACGUAUCUCCAGGAAGUUACAAAAUCACUGACAGCUACAGGAAAUACCAGAGGAUACUGUGGGUUCUGCCUGCUCUCCCAGCAUAACCAGCCCCAUUAGAACAAGGAAAUCAGAUCAAUGGUGAAUCAUGAGAUCUUUGCCAAAGAUCUGUAAGAUGACAUUGUCAUCCCAACUGCUGUAAUUAAAAUGUUGUUUGUGGAGUUACUGCAAAGUACAAAGCACUGGGUUUGGCAAAAGAACGUCUAAGCAUUAGAAGAAAUACACAACUGUUGUCUUCAAAGGUGUACAAUUGAUGUGAGGAUCCAGUGUGUUUGCUGAAAUAUGUGAUGGUGAUAACUGGGAAAAGUAAGUUUGGG